Molecule: ribosomal RNA, 253 nt
Filed under: uncultured bacterium
Lineage: Bacteria
Description: partial 16S ribosomal RNA
Rfam family: Bacterial small subunit ribosomal RNA
Source: RNAcentral
GACAGAGGCCUCGAGCGUUAGGCGGAAUCACUGGGCUUAAAGCGUGUGUGGGCGGACCGUUAAGUACCUUGUGAAAUCCCACGGCUCAACCGUGGAACGGCUGGGUAUACUGGCGGUCUUGAGCCACCUAGGGGCGAGCGGAACAAACGGUGGAGCGGUGAAAUGCGUAGAUAUCAGUCGGAACACCGGUGGCGAAGGCGGCUUCUUGGGCCAUUUCUGACGCUGAGGCGCGAAAGCUAGGGGAGCGAACGGG